UACGGAGGGUGCAAGCGUUAUCCGGAUUUACUGGGUUUAAAGGGUGCGUAGGAGGGCAGGUAAGUCAGUGGUGAAAUCUUCGAGCUUAACUCGGAAACUGCCGUUGAUACUAUCUGUCUUGAAUACCGUGGAGAUGAGCGGAAUAUGUCAUGUAGCGGUGAAAUGCUUAGAUAUGACAUAGAACACCAAUUGCGAAGGCAGCUCGUUACACGAAUAUUGACUCUGAGGCACGAAAGCGUGGGGAUCAAACAGG
RNAcentral lists this ribosomal RNA (253 nucleotides) under uncultured bacterium. RNAcentral's name for it is "partial 16S ribosomal RNA". It matches the Rfam family "Bacterial small subunit ribosomal RNA", at positions 524 to 776 of the family's 1533-position model. The record is from RNAcentral.